This 357-nucleotide ribosomal RNA is filed under the name uncultured cyanobacterium. Its description in RNAcentral is "bacterial SSU rRNA". It matches the Rfam family "Bacterial small subunit ribosomal RNA", at positions 356 to 728 of the family's 1533-position model. The record is from RNAcentral. Lineage: Bacteria; Bacillati; Cyanobacteriota.
GGGGAAUUUUCCGCUAUGGGCGAGAGCCUGACGGAGCAACGCCGCGUGAGGGAGGAAGGCCUGUGGGUCGUAAACCUCUUUUCUCAGGGAAGAAGUACUGACGGUACCUGAGGAAUCAGCAUCGGCUAACUCCGUGCCAGCAGCCGCGGUAAGACGGAGGAUGCAAGCGUUAUCCGGAAUUAUUGGGCGUAAAGCGUCCGUAGGUGGUAUAGAAAGUCUGUUGUUAAAUCCCACAGCUCAACUGUGGAUCGGCAAUGGAAACUACUAAACUUGAGUGUGGUAGGGGUAGAGGGAAUUCCUAGUGUAGCGGUGAAAUGCGUAGAUAUUAGGAAGAACACCAGUGGCGAAGGCGCUCUA